This 429-nucleotide RNase P RNA is filed under the name Rhodococcus (subgen. Prescottella) defluvii. Its description in RNAcentral is "Prescottella defluvii RNase P RNA component class A". It matches the Rfam family "Bacterial RNase P class A". From Rfam's summary of the family: Ribonuclease P (RNase P) is a ubiquitous endoribonuclease, found in archaea, bacteria and eukarya as well as chloroplasts and mitochondria. Its best characterised activity is the generation of mature 5'-ends of tRNAs by cleaving the 5'-leader elements of precursor-tRNAs. Cellular RNase Ps are ribonucleoproteins. The record is from RNAcentral. Lineage: Bacteria; Bacillati; Actinomycetota; Actinomycetes; Mycobacteriales; Nocardiaceae.
CGAGUUGGCCGGGCGGCCGCGGCGACGGGAACCGGCAUCCACGAGAUGUCAGGCCCGAUGCCGAGGAAAGUCCGGACUCCACAGAGCAGGGCGGUUGCUAACGGCAACCCGAGGUGACUCGCGGGACAGUGCCACAGAAAACAGACCGCCGGCGCGUGAGCGUCGGUGAGGGUGAAACGGUGCGGUAAGAGCGCACCAGCACCCCAGGUGACUGGGGUGGCUAGGUAAACCCCGCCCGGAGCAAGGUUGAAGGCCGCACCGGUGUCCUCCGGGACACGGUGUGCGGCUGCGCAGGUGAUCGAGGGCUGCUCGCCCGAGCCUGCGGGUGAACCGCUCGAAGGUACCCGGCGACGGUGUGCCCAGAUGGAUGGUCGCCACCCGGCGCGUGAGCGUCGGGGACAGGAUCCGGCUUACACGCCGACUCGUCCG